RNAcentral lists this ribosomal RNA (497 nucleotides) under uncultured bacterium. RNAcentral's name for it is "partial 16S ribosomal RNA". It matches the Rfam family "Bacterial small subunit ribosomal RNA", at positions 28 to 507 of the family's 1533-position model. The record is from RNAcentral.
GAUGAACGCUGGCGGCGUGCCUAACACAUGCAAGUCGAGCGAACAGACCAGGAGCUUGCUCCUCUGACGUUAGCGGCGGACGGGUGAGUCACACGUGGACAACCUACCUCUAAGACUGGGAUACCUUCGGGAAACCGUAGCUACUGCCGGAUAAUAUAUUGACCCGCAUGGUUCACUAGUGAAAGACGGUUUUGCUGUCGCUUCUAGCUGAAUCCGCGCCGCAUUAGCUAGGUGGCAAGGUAACGGCUUACCAAGGCGCCGAUGGGUACCCGACCCGAGCGGGUGGACGGCCACCGGGGAAGUGAGAAGCGGUACAGACACCUACGGGAGGCAGCGGUAGGGAAUCUUCCGCAAUGGGGGAAAGGCUGACGGAGCAACGCCGGGGGAGUGAUGAAGGUCUUCGGAUGGUAAAACGCUGUUAGGAGGGAAGAACAAAUGUGUAAGUAACUAUGCAGGUAGUGACGGUACCUGGUCAGAAAGCCACGGCUAACUACGUG